UACGGAGGGGGCUAGCGUUGUUCGGAAUUACUGGGCGUAAAGCGCGCGUAGGCGGACCUGCAAGUCGGGGGUGAAAGCCCGAGGCUCAACCUCGGAACUGCCUUCGAUACUGCGGGUCUCGGGUCCGGGAGAGGUGAGUGGAAUUCCUAGUGUAGAGGUGAAAUUCGUAGAUAUUCGGAAGAACACCAGUGGCGAAGGCGGCUCACUGGACUGGUAUUGACGCUGAGGUGCGAAAGCGUGGGGAGCAAACAGGG
This 254-nucleotide ribosomal RNA is filed under the name uncultured bacterium. Its description in RNAcentral is "partial 16S ribosomal RNA". It matches the Rfam family "Bacterial small subunit ribosomal RNA", at positions 524 to 777 of the family's 1533-position model. The record is from RNAcentral.